GGGUUGUUUAAUAGUUCGAGGUGUUUUGGAAUUUUGCGAUGGAGGCCCUCCUGUAAGAACCAGUCUUUAUGUCUGGGUUUAAUUUUUAAAUGCAUUCUUGUGGACAAACUAAUCAAGCCAUUGCUCUACACUGACCUUUUCCAAGAUCACUUUGCUCCCAGCAGUUAUUUCAAAUUACCAAAUGUGAGUAGUAUAACCUGAUGAACCCUUACAGAUAUUGCAGUGAUCUUCUUUUCAAUUGCUUUUGGCUCAGUGUUCUUUUUUUAAAUUACUCUGUAGUCUCAGAGGGCGAAACUGAGUUUUUGGCCUUUGUCAUAUAGCCAUCCAUCUACAUGCAUUGAUAAUUUAACACCUUAUCAUAUUUCCAUCUUUUCUGAAAUAGAUGAAAACCAAAACAUCAGAAUUUACUAUUACAUUUCCAGGCUAUUCCCAACUAUUUAGAGAAUUGCAGAUUUCUUUCAAAGCUUAACAACGAACUCCCUGACGAGAGAAACUCCACUUAUAAGGAACGGUUCAUUAGCUUACAG
Quercus lobata is the source of this 527-nucleotide long non-coding RNA. RefSeq lists it as uncharacterized. Lineage: Eukaryota; Viridiplantae; Streptophyta; Magnoliopsida; Fagales; Fagaceae. The transcript has 3 exons. The record is from RefSeq and is a predicted model, not a curated record.